Long non-coding RNA from Bubalus bubalis (water buffalo), 2750 nucleotides. RefSeq lists it as uncharacterized. The record is from RefSeq and is a predicted model, not a curated record. Lineage: Eukaryota; Metazoa; Chordata; Mammalia; Artiodactyla; Bovidae. The transcript is spliced from 4 exons.
UAUACUUCAGUAUAAAAUGAAAAUUAAAUUGAAUUUAAAAAUAAAGAAUGAAUAGAAAGUGUCCUAGUGAGGAGUUAGGUAUUACAGACUCCAGACAGAGAAGGCAGCAUGCCUAGUGUCCUGCAGCAGAAAAGAGCUCGUACAUGUGAGAAAUGGAAAGAGUGGCCCAGCUCGGGCCCAGUGAGUGCCCUGAGUGACCUCAGUCAGUCCCUUGAGGAGCACAAGAGUUGCUCAGCGCUGUGUGGACACCCUUCAGUCUGCUCAGACUCUGACAAUCCACUUCAAGGCUCCUGGAGGUGUGGGUAAUUUCCUUGACUCUGCCCUGUCUAAUAAAUUUUUCAAAUCAAUUUUUUUCAGAAAGAGAAGGUAAAGAAAAGAAAGAAGGGGAGCAAAAGAUCAAAAUUGGAGUCUUGUCUCUGCCACUAUUGGUACUUAAUUUAAGAUCAGGAGAUUGAGGUACAAAGUGAUUAAGUGACUUGAUCAUCACCUUAAAGGCCUCGAACCCAGCCCCAGAGAGACAGCAGUGAACAAAACAGCAACCCCAGCCCCAGGGAGUUUACCUUCUCUGAAGGGAGACAGGAAAUAACAGAUAAGAUGUUGUCUUGCGCCCAGGGCAGCUGUGAGUGUGUGAAUGCCUCAUCAGCGAUUGCGGACACUGCCCAAAUGGUGAUCAGCACAGAAACCUUAUAAAAUUACCAACAGACUACCACUUCUGUCUGCCAGCACUUUCAAUGCCAGCCAGCCUUGGGGCUUGUUUUGUUUUGCUUGUUUUUUUGUUUUUUUCUAUUGGAGUAGGUUGUGAUUUAGAAUGAGUGUUUGUGGACCGUAAAUGAAAAUAUAGGCUCACACCCAAUUAACUAGCUUUGACGAAUCAGAAGGGACAUACAUGGUUUAUUUGCAAGAAUGAGCAACAACCUAGAAAACUAGGAAUUUUUUUCUCCCUUCCUUUCCCUUAAUAACCUAGGACAAAUGUAAUAAAACUCUGUCUUUUCCCCUCUGUCUUCAUAUGCUAUAUGUUGUGAGGAAUACCAAAGAAGUGAGUUAUAUUUCCUGUCCUUCAAGGGCAAAUAUAAGAAGGUUGAAUCACAAUGACUGAUUUGAAUCAUUUACCAGGAUAUAAAAAUAUUAAGCUGAAAGUAUCUAUUUACAUGUGAUUCUAUCUCUUUUGAUGUCCAACGGAUGUGAGUGACAUAACAUCUCAGUAAGAUGCAAUUCCCCAGUACAGAAGUGAACAUCUUUGUCUUAUUCUUGCUUGGGUUACAUACUCAUCCAAUUUCCCCCAAUGCCUCCUGCAACUCUCCCUCAAUGACUUCUCUUAUCUGUACUUUACAGGAUCUCCAAAGACUCUGCUUCUGUGAGGCCACCUAAACUAUGAUCCCAUAAAAUUAAAAUGAUGAGAUGGAAAACCACAGAAAGCACCACACACCUGGUAGCUGAGCGGAGCUUUGUGUUGCCAAAGGGGCCAAGGCCUGGGCUUCUGCCAUGUGAUUCCCUGCCCACCUUUUAUCCAGAGGGGACUGCUAAUUUUUAAAAAUAGGUUUAAUACAGUCGUACACUCUAAUGUACUCUGUACUAUCUUCUUCCUGUGGGUGCACUUUUCAACUGUUACAAGAAAUUCGGUCCCUUGUGAAGCAUGAGUUUGUAAAGAUUUAGAUCAGUUUUGUUGUCUCUGUUAACUUUAACCAAGUGGUGUAUCCUGAUAUAUUAUAUGAAUUUAGAGUUAGUAGAUCUCAUUUCUGGAGAAGGAAAUGGCAACCCACUCCAGUGUUCUUGCCUGGAGAAUCCCAGGGACGGGGGAGCCUGGUGGGCUGCUGUCUAUGGGGUCACACAGAGUCGGACACGACUGAAUCGACUUAGCAGCAGCAGCAGCAGCAGAUCUCAUUUCAUUUCAACACUCUAUGGAGUUUGGAAAGUGUCCCAGAAGCCAGUAAGAAACCAAGCUUCUGCAGAACUGUGGGCAGGUGCUUUCACCUCUGUUUUCUCAUCUGUCACCAGGGCAUUACUAUGGCCAUACAAGUCUGUAUACAAAUGUCAUACAAUUUCAAGGAGACUGUUCACAUCGUAACUGAACAACAAAGCGGUCUGUCUGUAACAGGAAGAUAGGUGAGCAAAUUAAAUCAUCUUUCAAUCCCUUUGAGCUAAAAUUUAAUCAUUAUGACAAGGUGGUAUUCCAACUUUUCUCUAGAUUUUCUUCACACUUACUUUUUAAAAUAUCAUUUUUUUUUUAACCAAUGCUUUCAAACAUAUGUUCUGGACUAAAUUUGGUUUAGAAAAUAGUUUUAAGUUUUGUACUAUUUUCUGUAAAAGAAUAAAAUAGUAAAUAUUAAAAAUUUUAACAUUUUAAAACUUUACAGAUUCCCCAAAACCCAAAAAUACGUAAUAAAAAUAGCUUGCCACGGAGGUCUUCUACACAACGAUUUAAACUGAGAUUGCUAACAAAUUAAAUGGAUUAUUAGGUGUUUAACACUGUUGCUUUCCACUGUAAUUUGAAUGGAAUAUAGCUGGGCCUUAAACAUCACCAUAGACACUUUGCUCUAAAGCAAACCUACCUAUCUUUAUCAUUGGUCUUGGAAUCUAAUCAAGGGAGCUUAGAUACUGAAUUGCUGAUAGAACUCCCUUGAUGAACUGAUUCUCCCUGUUCAGUUCAGUUCAGUCGCUCAGUUGUGUCCGACUCUUGGUGACCCCAUGAAUCGCAGCACCCCAGGCCUCCCUGUCCAUCACCAACUUCCGGAGUUCACUCAGACUCACGU